Molecule: ribosomal RNA, 867 nt
Filed under: Helvella orienticrispa
Lineage: Eukaryota; Fungi; Ascomycota; Pezizomycetes; Pezizales; Helvellaceae
Description: eukaryotic LSU rRNA
Rfam family: Eukaryotic large subunit ribosomal RNA
Source: RNAcentral
UUCCCGCGAGUGACGGCAGGAGCUCAAUUUGAAAUCUGGGGCCCCCGGCCUCCGAGUUGUAAUUUGGAGAGGCUCCUUCGGGGGGGAGCGCUGGCCCAUGUUCCUUGGAACAGGACGUCGCAGAGGGUGAGAAUCCCGUGCCAGGCCGGCUGCCUCCUCCCGCGUGAAGGGCCUUCGACGAGUCGAGUUGUUUGGGAAUGCAGCUCCAAGUGGGUGGUAAAUUUCAUCUAAAGCUAAAUACCGGCGGGAGACCGAUAGCGCACAAGUAGAGUGAUCGAAAGAUGAAAAGCACUUUGAAAAUAGAGUCAAAAAGUACGUGAAAUUGUUGAAAGGGAAGCGCUUGAGACCAGACUCAGACCCAGGCAAACACCGCGCCCCCAGGGGCCGUGCAAUUGCCCGGUGCUGGGCCAGCAUCAGUUGGCGUGGCGGGACAAGGGCGCGGGAAAUGUGGCUCCCCUCGGGGAGUGUUAUCAGGCCCGCGCCGGAUGCCGCCGACGCCGACUGAGGACCGCGCCUCGGCUAGGAUGCUGGCUUAAUGGCCUUCAGCGACCCGUCUUGAAACACGGACCAAGGAGUCUAACAUCUAUGCGAGUGUUUGGGCGCCAAACCCUUGCGCGGAAUGAAAGUGAGCGGAGGUGGGAACCCCUCACCGGGCGCACCAUCGACCGAUCCUGAUGUCUUCGGAUGGAUUUGAGUAGGAGCAUAGCUGUUGGGACCCGAAAGAUGGUGAACUAUGCCUGAAUAGGGUGAAGCCAGAGGAAACUCUGGUGGAGGCUCGCAGCGGUUCUGACGUGCAAAUCGAUCGUCAAAUUUGGGUAUAGGGGCGAAAGACUAAUCGAACCAUCUAGUAGCUGGUUCCCUGCCGAA